RNAcentral lists this ribosomal RNA (706 nucleotides) under uncultured Staphylococcus sp. RNAcentral's name for it is "bacterial SSU rRNA". It matches the Rfam family "Bacterial small subunit ribosomal RNA", at positions 44 to 733 of the family's 1533-position model. Lineage: Bacteria; Bacillati; Bacillota; Bacilli; Caryophanales; Staphylococcaceae. The record is from RNAcentral.
GUGCCUAAUACAUGCAAGUCGAGCGAACAGACGAGGAGCUUGCUCCUCUGACGUUAGCGGCGGACGGGUGAGUAACACGUGGAUAACCUACCUAUAAGACUGGGAUAACUUCGGGAAACCGGAGCUAAUACCGGAUAAUAUAUUGAACCGCAUGGUUCAAUAGUGAAAGACGGUUUUGCUGUCACUUAUAGAUGGAUCCGCGCCGCAUUAGCUAGUUGGUAAGGUAACGGCUUACCAAGGCAACGAUGCGUAGCCGACCUGAGAGGGUGAUCGGCCACACUGGAACUGAGACACGGUCCAGACUCCUACGGGAGGCAGCAGUAGGGAAUCUUCCGCAAUGGGCGAAAGCCUGACGGAGCAACGCCGCGUGAGUGAUGAAGGUCUUCGGAUCGUAAAACUCUGUUAUUAGGGAAGAAUAAAUGUGUAAGUAACUAUGCACGUCUUGACGGUACCUAAUCAGAAAGCCACGGCUAACUACGUGCCAGCAGCCGCGGUAAUACGUAGGUGGCAAGCGUUAUCCGGAAUUAUUGGGCGUAAAGCGCGCGUAGGCGGUUUUUUAAGUCUGAUGUGAAAGCCCACGGCUCAACCGUGGAGGGUCAUUGGAACUGGAAAACUUGAGUGCAGAAGAGGAAAGUGGAAUUCCAUGUGUAGCGGUGAAAUGCGCAGAGAUAUGGAGGAACACCAGUGGCGAAGGCGACUUUCUGGU